UGCCCACACUUCACUUACACGAUUUUCACUAGUACUAAGAAUACAUAUUCAAUAGGAUAUUUGAUGUUUAGGUAGCGUCUAACAAUUUUUGAACUUAAUUUGUUUAAGCCAUUCAGAUUUUUGAACGUUUCCAUUUAUAUGUAUGAGAGGAGUAGGGACGAAUAGUACAAAACGACGAGCGGUGAUUGUCCGUGCAGAAAGAAAACGUACCCUCUACUGCUAAAAGGUGCGAAGUGGAAGCUGACGAAACGUGGGACACAAUCACACAACAAAACUAUACAAAUAUUAUUUUCUCAUGUUAAUAGUGAUUAGUGGAAUGAUUGCCAAUGGACAAUGCGGCCUUCUUAUCCCUUG
Molecule: long non-coding RNA, 354 nt
Organism: Arabidopsis thaliana (thale cress)
Lineage: Eukaryota; Viridiplantae; Streptophyta; Magnoliopsida; Brassicales; Brassicaceae
Product: other RNA
Exons: 1
Source: RefSeq